AGCGAACGUUUGCGGCGGGCUUAACACAUGCAAGUCGAACGAGAAUCCCUUCGGGGAGGAAAGUGGCGCACGGGUGCGUAACACGUGGAUAACCAACCCAUUGGUUUGGGACAACACCGGGAAACUGGUGCUAAUACCAGAUGUGUCGCAGCUGUCUUCAGGCGGUUGCGAGAAAGGCCCGCAAGGGUCGCCAACGGGCGGGUCCGCGUCCCAUCAGCUAGUUGGUUAGGUAAUGGCUCACCAAGGCAAAGACGGGUAGCUGGUCUGAGAGGAUGAUCAGCCACACUGGAACUGAGACACGGUCCAGACUCCUACGGGAGGCAGCAGUGGGGAAUAUUGCGCAAUGGGCGAAAGCCUGACGCAGCCACGCCGCGUGAGCGAUGAAGGUCUUCGGAUCGUAAAGCUCUGUGGGGGGAGAAGAAGAAAGCCGGUGAAGAGCCGGCCCUGACGGUAUCCCCUUAGCAAGCACCGGCUAACUCCGUGCCAGCAGCCGCGGUAAAGUCUGU
This 506-nucleotide ribosomal RNA is filed under the name uncultured bacterium. Its description in RNAcentral is "bacterial SSU rRNA". It matches the Rfam family "Bacterial small subunit ribosomal RNA", at positions 29 to 529 of the family's 1533-position model. The record is from RNAcentral.